ACCCUAGGGCUUUUCUUCUUCAAUGCUUCUUAUUUCUAUAUCCAAAAUUCAGCCUUUCAGUUAGAAGACAACAGGAUUUUAUGAAAACCUUGAAGUUUCAAAUUUUAUUCUGUUCAAAAUUACAUAGUUUAGUUCAAGUAGAAGGUUGAAACUGUUUGAUGAAAUAUAUUCGCAAAAGCAUUAAUCUUUCGGCGCAAUUUUGCAGAGAAACUGAGAGGCAAUGGAGGGCAGGAUUUCGAAUGCGUGGCGGUUGACAGUGAACGAUAAGAAUUUCAUCAAAACUGCUCUGCUUUCUGAAAUUCGAAUCGAUGGCCGAAAGCCCUUUGAAUACCGUAAGAUUUCAAUCAAGUUUGACAGAGGGGAUGGAUCAUCGGAGGUGCAGAUAGGCCAGACUCGUGUUAUGGGCAUUGUUACUGCUCAAUUGAUUCAGCCUUAUAAAGAUCGGCCUAAGGAAGGGACGCUUUCAAUCUUCACAGAAUUUUCUCCAAUGGCUGAUCCUUCUUUUGAGCCAGGUCGUCCUGGAGAAUUGGCUGUGGAGUUGGGACGUAUAAUUGAUCGUGGUCUAAGGGAUGUGGUGGAACUUAGAUUCUGGUUUGUAUCUGCGUUGUCUUAUUCAAAUAAAGAUAUGUGCAAGUUUAUUCUGGGGGCUGUUUUUUGGUCAAUUUGGAAGAUGAGAAAUGAAAUUAUUUUUGAAAGAGGUAAGCUGGACACAUCCUCACUGUUUUUCACAGUUAGGUUAAGGCCUGUGGUUAGCUGGAGUCCUCCUCCAGGCGAUGUUUUUAUGUUUAACGUGGAUGGUGCUGUGAGUAGUGUUGGGAUGUUAGCUGGAAUUGGGGGAAUUCUCAGAGAUUGGAAUCAGAUUAAGCUUAUGUCGUUUUCAGAAAAAAAUAGGUCCUACUCCAAUCAUUUUAGCAGAGUUGAAAGCUAUCAAAAGAGGCUUAGACAUCUUUCUGUCAUCAGAAUGGGUAAUGAAGGGAAGGUUCAUUAUUGAAAGUGAUUGCAAGUUAGCCGUGGAUUGGUUGAAAUAUCAGGAGUCGGUUCCACCUUUUCUUUUAAAUUUUGUUAAGGAUAUUGCGGCUACUGUUUCUGAGAAUGAGGUCAUUGUGAGGUGGAUUCCGAGAAGCUGUAAUUGCGAGGUAGAUUUGCUUGCAAAGGAGGGGAUUGGGUAGUGGUUCAUUUUGUUGUACUGAGUUCGGAGGUUUUAUACCAAGGGUGUUAUUAGAGUGUGUUGAAGUUUUAUGUAUCUACAAGGAGUGGUUUAAGUCUUAUGUAAUCUAUUUAUAAUCAAUAUAUUCAGGGAAAGCAGGGCUGUGGAUACUGAAUCACUGUGUAUUCUAGCUGGCAAGUAUGUGUGGGCUAUUCGGAUUGAUCUCCACAUUCUAG
Hibiscus syriacus is the source of this 1383-nucleotide RNA transcript. It is a transcript of the gene named exosome complex component RRP45B-like, with no coding region annotated. The record is from RefSeq and is a predicted model, not a curated record. NCBI's taxonomy places the organism in Eukaryota, Viridiplantae, Streptophyta, Magnoliopsida, Malvales, Malvaceae. The transcript has 6 exons.